Molecule: ribosomal RNA, 490 nt
Filed under: uncultured bacterium
Lineage: Bacteria
Description: partial 16S ribosomal RNA
Rfam family: Bacterial small subunit ribosomal RNA
Source: RNAcentral
AUUGAACGCUGGUGGCAGGCUUAACACAUGCAAGUCGAACGGUAACAGGAAUUAGCUUGCUCAUUUGCUGACGAGUGGCGGGCGGGUGAGAAAUGCUUGGGAAUCUGGCUUAUGGAGGGGGAUAACUACGGGAAACUGUGGCUAUAACCGCGUAAAUACUUCGGAUUAAAGGGUGGGACUUUCGAGCCACUUUCCUGAAGAUGAGACCAAGUGGGGUUAGGUAGUUGGUUAGGUAAAGGCUGACCAAGCCGACGAUCUCUAGCUGGUCUGAGAGGAUGAUCAGCCACACUGGAACUGAGACACGGUCCAGACUCCUACGGGAGGCAGCAGUGGGGAAUAUUGCACAAUGGGGGGAACCCUGAUGCAGCCAUGCCGCGUGAAUGAAGAAGGCCUUCGGGUUGUAAAGUUCUUUCGGUGACGAGGAAGGUUGAUAGGUUAAUAUCCGAUCAAAUUGACGGUAAUCACAGAAGAAGCACCGGCUAACUCCGUG